RNAcentral lists this ribosomal RNA (459 nucleotides) under uncultured bacterium. RNAcentral describes it as "partial 16S ribosomal RNA". It matches the Rfam family "Bacterial small subunit ribosomal RNA", at positions 338 to 795 of the family's 1533-position model. The record is from RNAcentral.
CCUACGGGAGGCAGCAGUGAGGAAUAUUGGUCAAUGGUCGGGAGACUGAACCAGCCAAGCCGCGUGAGGGAGGAAGGUACAGAGUAUCGUAAACCUCUUUUGUCAGGGAACAAAGGCGGGGACGUGUCCCCGGCUGAGUGUACCUGACGAAAAAGCAUCGGCUAACUCCGUGCCAGCAGCCGCGGUAAUACGGAGGGUGCGAGCGUUAUCCGGAUUUAUUGGGUUUAAGGGGUGCGCAGGCGGUCUGUUAAGUCAGCGGUCAAAGCCCGGGGCUCAACCCCGGCCCGCCGUUGAAACUGGCAGUCUCGAGUUGGAGAGAAGUAUGCGGAAUGCGUGGUGUAGCGGUGAAAUGCAUAGAUAUCACGCAGAACUCCGAUUGCGAAGGCAGCAUACCGGCGCGCAACUGACGCUCAUGCACGAAAGCGUGGGUAUCGAACAGGAUUAGAUACCCCGGUAGUC